Molecule: long non-coding RNA, 575 nt
Organism: Megalobrama amblycephala (Wuchang bream)
Lineage: Eukaryota; Metazoa; Chordata; Actinopteri; Cypriniformes; Xenocyprididae
Exons: 3
Source: RefSeq, a predicted model, not a curated record
UUUAAACAAAUUUUGAAAAAAAGUUUUUUAUACAUUUUUUUGCCUACCCUGCCUUUAAUGAUUAAGACAUAAAGACGUACUAAACCAGUUAGAAGUUUGCGUUAUGUUUAGUAAACCAAUCGUACAGGACCAAAGAGGAAGAUAGGAAAAAGAAGCGCUCAUGGCAUCAGAUUACGUGUUUUCAAACAAUCUCGUACUUCGAUCAGUGAAAGACCAGGUACAGAGGGCGGGAACAUGUGGCGCACCUUCUCUUCCUGAACAUCAGCCAAUGAGUUUGGAGAAGGAGCAGCUCCUGGAUCAGAUGGCUGAACUCAUCAGAGACAUCGGCGACUCUCUCGAUCGGGAGCCAAAAUUCAAUGAGUUAGUAUCGAAAGGUCUUUUUUGGUAUACGAGCAUAUUACUGUAUGUAAUAAUUAUGGAAGUCAAUUUUUUUAAAAAAAAAUAUUAGAAUUAAUGUGAGAUAGUUUAAGAAAUAAAGUUGUUGGAAAUGAGUUGCUAUUAAAGGAUUAGUUCACUUUCAAAUAACAUUUUCCUGAUAAUUUACUCACCCCCAUGUCAUCCAGGAUGUUCAUGUC